CGUGCUACUUUGGUCUAGGGCCAACCUACGAGUGCCAACCCAAGGGUGCCUCUUUCCUCUGUCUGAUCUGUUGCCUGGGCUCCUGGUUGGCUGAACUCAGCUGACGCCAGAGGGGAAAGGAGCUCUGUUGACAAUGGUCCAUCCAGGUCUGCGUGCUGAAAGGGGAAGGCUGGGUUUGGAAAGGCAAAUGGAAGAUGUCUGAUAGAAUCAUUUACCUCCUCAUCUAGAUGAUCCAUGUAACCAAACAGUUUUGUUUGGUACACAUUUCCCCCACUUUGCCCCAGGACAACCAGAAAAAAUACUUUGCUAAGUGUCUUCUUCUUCUUUAUUUUUUUUUUGUUCUUUUGCCCUUUUAGGGUCGCACCUGGGACACAUGGAGGUUCCCAGGCUAGGGGUCCAAUCCGAGCUGUAGCCACCGGCCUAUGCCAGAGCCACAGCAACUCAGGAUCCAAGCCGUGUCUGUGACCCACACCACAGCUCACGGCAAUGCCGGAUCCUUAACCCACUGAGCGAGGCCAGGGAUUGAAACCACAACCUCAUGGUUCCUAGUUGGAUUCGUUUCCAUGUGCCACGACAGGAACUCCCUAAGUGUCUUUUUAAAACAAGGUACAUCAAGCCUGCAGAAUCCCAUAUUUAAGUUGGCAGUGGCUGAGCAAGAACUAAAUUAGUCCAGGUGUCCCUGCUGUUUGUCAUGUGCUGCUUCUCUGAUGAUGCGUUUUGUUGUUGUUUGCCUUUCAGUGUUUUUGAAACCAGGAUGUGAUUUACAACCUAGCGUAGAUUUAGAAUUAGGAUCAUUCCCUACCCCCUCCACAUCUACGUUUUGAAAAAUUUCAAACCUUUCAGAAAAGUAUCCUAUGCAAUGAACACCUAGCUUGCUUUUUCCGUUAACAAUAACUUGGAGUUCCUCAUUCUUUUUAGGAUUGUUAUUAACUCUUAAAUAGGUACAAAACCAUAUUUAUAAUAAAGUAAAUUGAGGAAUCGUACUGCAAGUACUUGUGUGUAUCAGCCUGAUUUGAGGAACUGAAUUUUAUCUUAACUUUCUAAGGAGCCCCUCUGAUCUCAGAGAUUGAUGCCACUCUUCCGAACUGUUUAUUUUUUUCUUUCUUUCUUUUUUUUUUUUUUUUUUUUUCUUUGUCUUUUAGGUUCAUACCUACAGUGUAUGGAAAUUCCCAGGCUAGGGGUCAAAUCGGAGCUGUAGUUGUGGCUGUCAGCCUAAGCCACAGCCAUAGCAAUGCCAUAUCUGAGCUGUUGUCUUUGACCUAUGCUGCAGCUCAUGGCAACGCCAGAUCCUCACCCCAUUGAGUAAGGCCAGGGAUUGAACCUGAAUCCUCGUGAAUACUAGUUGGAUUCUUAACCUGCUGAGCCACAAUGGGACCUCCUGCUUUUCUUUGUAGACUUACCACAGCCAUUUGUGUCACCAGUUGAUCUAUCAUUUGUUUCAUGUGCUUGAAAUUUGUGGGUUCACACAGUAUGCCUUUUUCUGAGCCUUUUUCAGUUUUAUUGUGUUAAUGAACAAAAAUUGUUCAGACAUUUGAUAAAGGUGAUUAGGAAGAUUCUAUUCAAGAGAGGCUACUACAGUGGGGGCUUUAUAGCAGGAGAGAGAGAUCAGGCUCAAUUUUCCCUCUUACCAGGAUGGGUGGGGAUUUAUAGCCAAGGAUCAAGGUGGAGUCGGUGCAUGGAAAACUAUUAAGAGAAGGAGUUCCCAUGGUGGCUCAGUGGUUAAUGAAUCCAACUAGGAACCAUGAGGUUGCGGGUUCGUUCCCUGGCCUUGCUCAGUGGGUUAAGGAUCUGGUGUUGCCGUGAGCUGUGGUGUAGGUUGCAGGCGCAGCUCAGAUCCCGCGUUGUUGUGGCUCUGGUGUAGGCCGGCAGCAACAGCUCCAAUUAGACUCCUAGCCUGGGAACCUCCAUGUGCCGAGGGAGCAGCCCUAGAAAAGGCAAAAAGACAAAAACCAAAAAACCAAAAAAAAACUAUUAAGAGAAGACAUCAAGACUAGGGGGCGAUACUUGCUAGAUAACAGGACUUUUUUUUUUUUUUUUGGCCACACCCACAGCAUGUGGAAAGUCCCAGGCCAGGGUUCAAAUCUGAGCCACAGCUGUGACAACACUGGAUCCUUAACCUACUGUUCUGGGCAGGGAAUCAAACCCUCGGCUCUGCAGCGACCUAAGCCACCUCAGAGACAAUGCUGGAUUCUUUUUUUUUUGACUUUUUGACUUUUUGCCAUUCCUUGGACCGUUCCUGCGGCAUAUGGAGGUUCCCAGGCUAGGGGUUGAAUCGGAGCUGUAGCCACCAGCCUGUGCCAGAGCCACAGCAACGAGGGAUCUGAGCCAAGUCUGCAACCUACACCACAGCUCACGGCAACGCCAGAUUCUCAACCCACUGAGCAAGGCCAGGGACCGAACCCGCAAUCUCAUGGUUCCUAGUCAGAUUCACUAACCACUGAGCCACCACGGGAACUCCCAAUGCUGGAUUCUUAACCUGCUGUUCCAUAGCGGGAACUCCCUCAACAAGAUUCUUACUGCAUGCAGACCAGGAUGAUACGUUCUUGAGGGUGGAGGAUACGAGAUUUGACCAGAUAUCAGAGUCAUCAGAUACCAAGAAUGAAGUAUACUGACUUAGUGGGAUUCUUGCCAAAACUUGACCAAAGGGGUCAAAGACAGGGCCUCAGUUGUUUAGUCAGAGGAGAGAGUCUUUGUUAUAUGUCCACAUCUAAUUGAGAAACCCUAUAUGUUUCUAGCACCCAGCUGCAAGAAAAUUUAGGUUUUAGCUUUCUGGCCUCUGCAGAAUAGGAAGCCACAUUAGAAGGUGGGAAUGAAAGCUUGGUGCCGAUUCUCCAUCCCUUCUGCAAAUUCGUGUGUAUAAGGCUAACCCUACCUUCUUGUUCAGACAUCUCAACUCUCCUUGCUUGUUUUUCUUUUUUCUUCUUAGGGCCGCACUCACAGCACAUGGAGGUUCCCAGGCUAGGGGUCGAAUCGGAGCUAGAGCUGCUGGCCUACACCACAGCCCCAGCAACACCUGGAUCUUUUAACCCACUGAGUAAGGCCAGGGAUCGAACCUGCAUCCUCAUGGAUUCUAGUCAGAUUCGUUUCCACUGCGCCACAACAGGAACUCCCAUUUGAAAUCUUAACGCCUGAUAAUGUGGAUGAACUUUGGAAACAUUAUGCUAAGUGAGGUAAGCCAAACAGAGGGCUGC
RNAcentral lists this long non-coding RNA (3191 nucleotides) under Sus scrofa (pig). Its description in RNAcentral is "lncRNA (ENSSSCG00050027939.1)". The record is from RNAcentral. Lineage: Eukaryota; Metazoa; Chordata; Mammalia; Artiodactyla; Suidae.